This 496-nucleotide ribosomal RNA is filed under the name uncultured bacterium. RNAcentral's name for it is "partial 16S ribosomal RNA". It matches the Rfam family "Bacterial small subunit ribosomal RNA", at positions 28 to 507 of the family's 1533-position model. The record is from RNAcentral.
GAUGAACGCUGGCGGCGUGCCUAAUACAUGCAAGUCGAGCGAACAGACGAGGAGCUUGCUCCUCUGACGUUAGCGGCGGACGGGUGAGUAACACGUGGAUAACCUACCUAUAAGACUGGGAUAACUUCGGGAAACCGGAGCUAAUACCGGAUAAUAUAUUGAACCGCAUGGUUCAAUAGUGAAAGACGGUUUUGCUGUCACUUAUAGAUGGAUCCGCGCCGCAUUAGCUAGUUGGUAAGGUAACGGCUUACCAAGGCGACGAUGCGUAGCCGACCUGAGAGGGUGAUCGGCCACACUGGAACUGAGACACGGUCCAGACUCCUACGGGAGGCAGCAGUAGGGAAGCUUCCGCAAUGGGCGAAAGCCUGACGGAGCAACGCCGCGUGAGUGAUGAAGGUCUUCGGAUCGUAAAACUCUGUUAUAGGGAAGAACAAAUGUGUAAGUAACUAUGCACGUCUUGACGGUACCUAAUCAGAAAGCCACGGCUAACUACGUG